Molecule: long non-coding RNA, 1397 nt
Organism: Caretta caretta (loggerhead turtle)
Lineage: Eukaryota; Metazoa; Chordata; Testudines; Cheloniidae
Source: RefSeq, a predicted model, not a curated record
GCUCACUUCAUUGGAUGCAUUCAGUGGGAAAUACAGUGGGGAGAUUUAUAUACACAGAGAACAUGAAACAAUGGCUGUUACCAUACACACUGUAAGGAGAGUGAUCAGACUUCUGGUCUUCUGCUUUCUGUCCGCAUGACAAGAACCAGAGGAGACGGGGAAAACAAACAAACAAACAACCAAACAAAGGAUGGGAUAGGGAAGAAAGGCACAACACGGUGAAUGGACUGAUCCAAGAUCAGACAGCAGGUUGCAUUUCAUGCCAACACUGACGGAGGAUAUUCACACAGCUGUACAAUAUGUGAACCCUCUCAAGAAACUUACAUUCUCUCUUCCAAGGGCGAUGGCUUGCUACAGAAACAUGACUGCUGUGAAGAAUGGUGGGAUAUUCCUGUUGGGGGCAGGAAUUCAACCUUCCAAAUGAACUUGUAGGGGAUUCUAAUUAUUACAAAGAAGUUUUCUAGUAGCUUUGGGUAUAAUAUGAUCUUUCAAAGUCUAUAUGUAACUGCAAACUAUGUCUGAAACACCUAUUUUGCUUGCUUCCCCCACCCCCAGCAUUUCUUAUGGUCUUGAACAAGGAAAAUUCAAACAACUGCUGGAGUCAUUUAAUUAUUUAUUACAUAUAAAAUACAAUAUGUAUUAAUGACCUUUUCUGUUGGAAAACAUGCUAUAGGAAAAUUUAACUACCUGCACUAAAAUCUAAACCCAGAAUUAUAUAGGUUAAGACUAUAGAGAGGUAUGUGAUACUGACAUACUGAGAGAUCACUUAAAAAUGGUAUAUUCCCUCUCCAUUAUUGAGUUUAGUAUGAACAGGUGAAUAAAAGAUCCAGGGGGGAAGACAAAAGAGAUACAAUUAAUAUAUGCUAUAUUAUCUUUAAAAAAAAAAAAAAAGGUGGUCAGACAUUUUGGUGAUAUGCCUGAUGUAGAUCUAUUUUAAGCAAGGACAUGAAAUAAUCAACAAAUCUUGAAUUUACAGUAGCCUUGUCAACAUGUGAAGUAUGUAGCGAAUAUAAAAUAUAGUAGGAUAGUAAGCAAUAUGUAACAGAAGCAUAUGUGUGGUGUGUGAACAACUUGCGAUCUGUUUGGAAACUGGUUCCCAGAAACUAAUGAACCAAUCACAAUUGAUGUAGAAUAGAGGGCACAUGUGGAGUUUGUUUCAGAAUGUGUAUUUAAGCUGAUUAGUUAUUUAGUACUUUGGAUCUGUUAUGUACCCAGGGGUGCUGAGAGCCAUUGAACCAAACUGUAAACCCUGUAUAUAAUGGAAACCACUUCAAGCCAGUGGAUGUGGAAGCACCCCCAGCACUCCUAGUUCCAGCACUUAUGUAUGUACCCUGCAUAUGUCUGAUCAACUAACUUAGCUUUGCUAUAUGCCUAAUAAAGAUAUCUGAGUGACGAAA